Molecule: ribosomal RNA, 1372 nt
Filed under: Klebsiella sp. S54
Lineage: Bacteria; Pseudomonadati; Pseudomonadota; Gammaproteobacteria; Enterobacterales; Enterobacteriaceae
Description: bacterial SSU rRNA
Rfam family: Bacterial small subunit ribosomal RNA
Source: RNAcentral
UGCAGUCGAGCGGUAGCACAGAGAGCUUGCUCUCGGGUGACGAGCGGCGGACGGGUGAGUAAUGUCUGGGAAACUGCCUGAUGGAGGGGGAUAACUACUGGAAACGGUAGCUAAUACCGCAUAAUGUCGCAAGACCAAAGUGGGGGACCUUCGGGCCUCAUGCCAUCAGAUGUGCCCAGAUGGGAUUAGCUAGUAGGUGGGGUAAUGGCUCACCUAGGCGACGAUCCCUAGCUGGUCUGAGAGGAUGACCAGCCACACUGGAACUGAGACACGGUCCAGACUCCUACGGGAGGCAGCAGUGGGGAAUAUUGCACAAUGGGCGCAAGCCUGAUGCAGCCAUGCCGCGUGUGUGAAGAAGGCCUUCGGGUUGUAAAGCACUUUCAGCGGGGAGGAAGGCGNUNAGGUUAAUAACCUUGGCGAUUGACGUUACCCGCAGAAGAAGCACCGGCUAACUCCGUGCCAGCAGCCGCGGUAAUACGGAGGGUGCAAGCGUUAAUCGGAAUUACUGGGCGUAAAGCGCACGCAGGCGGUCUGUCAAGUCGGAUGUGAAAUCCCCGGGCUCAACCUGGGAACUGCAUUCGAAACUGGCAGGCUAGAGUCUUGUAGAGGGGGGUAGAAUUCCAGGUGUAGCGGUGAAAUGCGUAGAGAUCUGGAGGAAUACCGGUGGCGAAGGCGGCCCCCUGGACAAAGACUGACGCUCAGGUGCGAAAGCGUGGGGAGCAAACAGGAUUAGAUACCCUGGUAGUCCACGCCGUAAACGAUGUCGAUUUGGAGGUUGUGCCCUUGAGGCGUGGCUUCCGGAGCUAACGCGUUAAAUCGACCGCCUGGGGAGUACGGCCGCAAGGUUAAAACUCAAAUGAAUUGACGGGGGCCCGCACAAGCGGUGGAGCAUGUGGUUUAAUUCGAUGCAACGCGAAGAACCUUACCUGGUCUUGACAUCCACAGAACUUUCCAGAGAUGGAUUGGUGCCUUCGGGAACUGUGAGACAGGUGCUGCAUGGCUGUCGUCAGCUCGUGUUGUGAAAUGUUGGGUUAAGUCCCGCAACGAGCGCAACCCUUAUCCUUUGUUGCCAGCGGUCCGGCCGGGAACUCAAAGGAGACUGCCAGUGAUAAACUGGAGGAAGGUGGGGAUGACGUCAAGUCAUCAUGGCCCUUACGACCAGGGCUACACACGUGCUACAAUGGCAUAUACAAAGAGAAGCGACCUCGCGAGAGCAAGCGGACCUCAUAAAGUAUGUCGUAGUCCGGAUUGGAGUCUGCAACUCGACUCCAUGAAGUCGGAAUCGCUAGUAAUCGUAGAUCAGAAUGCUACGGUGAAUACGUUCCCGGGCCUUGUACACACCGCCCGUCACACCAUGGGAGUGGGUUGCAAA